UUGACCUCAAUCGGGUGAGACUACCCGCUGAACUUAAGCAUAUCAAUAAGCGGAGGAAAAGAAACUAACAAGGAUUCCCCUAGUAACUGCGAGUGAAGCGGGAAAAGCUCAAAUUUAAAAUCUGGCGGUCUUUGGCCGUCCGAGUUGUAAUUUAGAGAAGCGUCUUCCGCGCCGGACCGUGCACAAGU
RNAcentral lists this ribosomal RNA (188 nucleotides) under uncultured ectomycorrhiza (Lactarius pseudomucidus). Its description in RNAcentral is "partial 28S ribosomal RNA". It matches the Rfam family "Eukaryotic large subunit ribosomal RNA", at positions 1 to 186 of the family's 3401-position model. Lineage: Eukaryota; Fungi; Basidiomycota; Agaricomycetes; Russulales; Russulaceae. The record is from RNAcentral.